Molecule: long non-coding RNA, 534 nt
Filed under: Ictidomys tridecemlineatus (thirteen-lined ground squirrel)
Lineage: Eukaryota; Metazoa; Chordata; Mammalia; Rodentia; Sciuridae
Description: lncRNA (ENSSTOG00000031592.1)
Source: RNAcentral
CCAGGAGCAGUUGGUGACCAUAGUGUUUCCUUCCCUCUUCCAGCUGGCUGAAGCCCGAGGAGGGGAUCACUGUGCAUUUCCACGCCAUCAUCCCCAAGCAUGUCACCUUCGACCCCGAGCUCCACACGGUGUUCAUCAGGGGAGGAGAAGAGCUCGGACAGCCCAAGUGGAGUGAUGCUUGCAAGAUGUACUACAUUGCACUGGCAUCAAUAUGAUGACAUAAUUUGCAUGAAGCCUCCUGGGACCUUCCAGAAAUUUCAGAACCUCUUCACUAAUAAGAUGAAGAAGGAGCUGGUGAAGGAGAAGAAAUUAGCAGCUGCAAUCAUGCUGGGCCGCAUCUUUAGCAACCUCCAGACCUGGAACCUCGUCAACCUGCAGAACUUCUUCACCCAGUUCCGGCAGUUUUAUUAUGUUGUCCAAGAGCCUAUGAUUUACGAAGGGAAAGCACAGCCCUGGUACAGCCUGGGCCUCGGAGAGGAAGAGGUAUCAGACUUCCCCCGGUUACCAGCAGCUCUGGUGUGGGUGGGCAGGGUC